This 72-nucleotide small RNA is filed under the name Martinezella lusitana. RNAcentral describes it as "Rhizobium lusitanum suhB". It matches the Rfam family "Makes More Granules Regulator RNA (mmgR)". Rfam says of the family: SuhB later renamed mmgR (makes more granules regulator) was a putative non-coding RNA found multiple times in the Agrobacterium tumefaciens genome and related alpha-proteobacteria. Other non-coding RNAs uncovered in the same analysis include: speF, ybhL, metA, and serC. Several studies inSinorhizobium meliloti showed that suhB element is indeed a non-coding RNA:firstly it was detected on Northern blot and called Sm8RNA, secondly in an RNAseq study referred to as SmelC689. The record is from RNAcentral. Lineage: Bacteria; Pseudomonadati; Pseudomonadota; Alphaproteobacteria; Hyphomicrobiales; Rhizobiaceae.
UGUAAAUGCCCUUCCUGGGUGUUUCCUCCCUAGACUUAGCCGCGCCACGAGCGCGGUUCUUUUUUGCCGAUU